Molecule: ribosomal RNA, 184 nt
Filed under: uncultured bacterium
Lineage: Bacteria
Description: partial 16S ribosomal RNA
Rfam family: Bacterial small subunit ribosomal RNA
Source: RNAcentral
CAUGAAGCUGGAGUUACUAGUAAUCGCAGAUCAGAAUGCUGCGGUGAAUGCGUUCCCGGGUCUUGUACACACCGCCCGUCACACCACGGAAGUUGGGGGCGCCCGAAGCCACUUAGCUAACCCAUUUGGGAAGCGAGUGUCGAAGGUGAAAUCAAUAACUGGGGUGAAGUCGUAACAAGGUAUC